GUGCCAGCAGCUGCGGUAAUACGGAGGGUGCAAGCGUUAAUCGGAAUUACUGGGCGUAAAGCGCACGCAGGCGGUUGAUUAAGUCAGAUGUGAAAUCCCCGGGCUCAACCCGGGAACUGCAUCUGAUACUGGUCAGCUGGAGUCUCGUAGAGGGAGGUAGAAUUCCAGGUGUAGCGGUGAAAUGCGUAGAGAUCUGGAGGAAUACCGGUGGCGAAGGCGGCCUCCUGGACGAAGACUGACGCUCAGUGCGAAAGCGUGGGAGCAAACAGGAUUAGAUACCCUGGUAGUCCACGCUGUAAACCGAUGUCGACGUUGGAGUUGUGCCCAUGAGCGUGGCUUCCGGAGCUAACGCGUUAAGUCGACCGCCGUGGGA
This 373-nucleotide ribosomal RNA is filed under the name uncultured Shigella sp. Its description in RNAcentral is "bacterial SSU rRNA". It matches the Rfam family "Bacterial small subunit ribosomal RNA", at positions 505 to 879 of the family's 1533-position model. The record is from RNAcentral. Lineage: Bacteria; Pseudomonadati; Pseudomonadota; Gammaproteobacteria; Enterobacterales; Enterobacteriaceae.